RNAcentral lists this ribosomal RNA (469 nucleotides) under uncultured bacterium. Its description in RNAcentral is "bacterial SSU rRNA". It matches the Rfam family "Bacterial small subunit ribosomal RNA", at positions 29 to 507 of the family's 1533-position model. The record is from RNAcentral.
AAUGAACGCUGGCGGCAUGGCUAAGACAUGCAAGUCGAACGGACCUAUUUGAAGAGUAAUCAGAUAAUAGGUUAGUGGCGAAAGGGUGAGGAAUAGAUAGGUAACGUACCUCGGGCUCCGGAAUAGCUCAUCGAAAGGUGGGGUAAUGCCGGAUAAUGUCAUCUGUUAAAUGCAGAUGACCAAAGAUUUAUCGGCCUUUGAGCGGCCUAUCUCCUAUCAGCUUGUUGGUGAGGUAACGGCUCACCAAGGCGACGACGGGUAGCGGGACUGAGAGGUUGGCCCGCCACAUCGGAACUGAGACACUGUCCGGACCUCCACGGAGGGCUGCAGUAACGAAUAUUGGGCAAUGGGCGAAAGCCUGACCCAGCAAUGCCGCGUGUAGGAUGAAGCCCCUCGGGGUGUAAACUACUUUCAGGGAUUAGAAAGCUACGGUUGAUCAGUCCCAGAAGAAGUCACGGCUAACUUCGUG